UGAUCAAUGAAAAAUAUUUUUAUUGCAAUCUUCAUGUUUAAUUCUUAGUUUCUUGCAAUCUAUUAUUUUUUUUAUUUAUAUUUUUGAAAUACUCGACCUAAGAUCCCUAUAGAUACGAUCCUGACUCAUCCUAUCUAUAUAGUAGUGAGUAGGAUUAAUUUUAGUGUGCUACGACAUACAUCAUAUAUAUUAUAAUUUUUUUCUACGAUGAUUGAUAUGGAUACAAUCCAGUUAAGUCAAAUCGAAUAGAUAGAACAUCAAGUUCGACUCGGUUCAAAAUACUGAAACUUUAAAUUCAACUUGAAAUAGAUCAUCUUGAUAUC
Molecule: long non-coding RNA, 323 nt
Filed under: Elaeis guineensis (African oil palm)
Lineage: Eukaryota; Viridiplantae; Streptophyta; Magnoliopsida; Arecales; Arecaceae
Description: long non-coding RNA (EGUI_LNC000205)
Source: RNAcentral